Eptatretus burgeri (inshore hagfish) is the source of this 3279-nucleotide long non-coding RNA. NCBI's taxonomy places the organism in Eukaryota, Metazoa, Chordata, Myxini, Myxiniformes, Myxinidae. The record is from Ensembl.
GGGGGGGGGUGCAGACACAAAGUAUUUUGUGUGUGGUCUGUGGCUUCAAAAUGACUUUUCUGUGAAGCUCCUCAUUUUUUUUUUUCUCACUCCUCCCACCUCCUCUCCCUUUCCCCCAGACCCUUAUAUAAAAAGAUUUUGCACCUAAAGCCCCGUUUCUGAGCUGAGCAGAGACCAUCACAUCGUAUAGUCCAGAGCUUAUCUCAUUAGCUCGAGUACCGUGUUCGGCUCAGGUGUCCUCACGAAUCUUCAGACACCUGCCAUCGUGCUUUGACUCAAACCUACUUUUGGUCCUCGUCCAGCCAUGUUUGCCACUGCUGUUAGUCUUCUGUGUCUUCUUGCCAUCCUGCCUCCCUCGAGUGCCCCCAAUGUACCAGAUUCUUCUUCAGCACUGGGACAAUCGUAUGAGAAGUCGAUGAAGAAUCUAGGACUAGCCACCAAAUCAGAUGAUAAGUCGGUUUUACGAGCUUCUUAUGAUGGAGGGACUUAUGUCUUGGGAGCUGAGGGGCCUGGGACUAAUACUGGGAGAGACGAUCGUCCUCAAAACUGGCAAUACCCCAGCAAUAGGGCUGAAACUGGGGCAGAAGGGUUUUCUGGGCCAUACGAGACCAAACCUUCUCGUGGAUCAGCCAAUUACGGCCAUAAACUUAGUAAGCGUAAGGGCAGAUUACCCAAUGGUGAAGCCUACAUGAGACCCGAGUUUGGGAAUAUGAAAACCCCGACAUCACCAUACUCAACUGAUAUUAGGCAUGCACCUCAGUGGGGUUAUCCAGUUGGCAGUUAUGGACAUAAGGAUGGCCGCAAGUCUUCACGAGGCCCAGCGUUAGGUGAUCAAUCAGGCUAUCGGAAUGGUUGGCCUAAAAUCACAUCAGGGCCACACCAACCAUUACAUGCAGAGGCUCAGGCUGGGACCUAUGGGCUAAAAGCAGGACUCAAACCUGGACCUCGGCCAGCAUACCAGGCUGUAGCCUACUCUCAGCAGGCUGCACUUGGGGCAAGCUUGGGAAUGAAUGGGCAGUUGGCAUACCCAAGAGGUUGGCCGAGCAUCAAGUCACAGCCAAGGCCGGUUUAUCAAGCUGAGGCACAAGCAGGGGAUUAUGGACGCAAAGCAGGCAUUAGACACAGCGCUCCAAGGGGUUUCUCAGCUUUUGCUGGUGCAGGCACACCUCGAGCUCAAAAAUCUGGGUCACAUCUGGCUUAUCCCGCUGCACCUUUGCCUCAAAAGGCUAGGCCAGGAUUAGCCUAUCCGAACUGGCCAGCUGGGGGUGUCAGAUCUAAUGUAAGCCCAGGUCGACAAACCAUGGGUCACCAUGGCAAUGGUGCUUGGGGCUGGCGAGGGCCCAGCACAAUGCAUGCACCAAAGCCAAAGCGCUAUUGGUCAGUUAGAUUGCCAAAAGUGGAGGGUGGAACAAGCUACGGUGGUACUGCAGAUCGAGGAACUGGUGCAGGACAGGGAAGGCGAGGAGAAAAUGGCUCAAAAUAUGAGCACCGAGCACCGCCCUACAUGUACAACUUGGGACAAGAUGACCUUCGAGUUCAUCCCAGCUCUGCUCCACUUAUUUCUGAGCCCCAACAUGGACGUGCUCACCCUUUUCCCCCAUUAGCUGGCCUCCAGCCAAUGGAAGUCCACGGAGCAGCACAGCUUCCCAGCCAGACCCAAAGGAGACCCACAAAACAUGAAUGGGGCCAAGUGGUUGGGAUCGCAGGCGAGAGUGAACCAGAAGAACAGACAUCUGAAUUAUCGCUCCGCUGUCCUCCAGGAACACAUGCUACACAGCUGCUAGGCAUGGUGCUUUGUCAAAGGCCCUACGUAUGAGAAUGUCCUGGAUACCUGGGAGGGUCUUCACAAGUGCCACCCGGGCAUCUCAGAUUGGAAUUCUUUGCCACACAGUGGAGUUUUUGAAGCAAAAUUCAAUAAUUUCUGUACAUUUUAAAAGAAUCGGUGUUUUGUAGUUUUUCUCAAUUUCAGAUAUUUUAUAUAACUGUUAUUGUUGCAAUUUUUUUGUCAUUGUUUUACCUCUUCCUCUUGACUUUGUAACUUCUACAUCUCUGAGUAAAAUACUUCAAAAGGAUUUCAGUGAUAUCGGCCAUGGUUAAAAUAUAACAUCACGAGGUCCAUUGGGAAAUUGAACUUCGACUGGAAGGAUUAACAAGAAAUGGGAAAUAAAAUGAUUUUGCAAGAUUUACUCUUGGUGUGCAGACACACACCUCUCAAUCAGCAGAUGCUUAUGCUAGUGACAUGUAUAAGUCUCUGUAAUGUGCUCACGAUGUACCUGGUACAUGUCUCUAAUGUGCUUUCUACCUGAUACAUGUCUUUGUAAUCUGCUCACCGUGUACCUGGUAUGAGUUUCUGUAAUAUCGUCCUUUCCACAGUACUGAAACAAACACGUUACUCGAGAUAUAACUGUGAUGUUUAAUUAGAAUUCCUGGAGAUGGUUAGCUUAGCUUACCCAGCAAAGAGUCACUCUAUCCUUCAGGGCUAGUCAAUAACAGCUCCUGAUGCACACACCAUGUUCAGCUCUACAUUGUGAAUCUUAAUAUAAUUAAAUUAUCUCGGCGAUGAAGACGAUAUACUCUUGUGGAGUUCAGUCUUGUGGAGUAGCCAAACCCGACUUUAUAAUAACUCUGUCUUUGAGGAUAAUCGGCAUGCUGAACCAAAAAUGUAACUGAAAACAAACAGUCUUAUGCUAUACGAACAAUGUAACUCUCCCGUCAGUGUUACAUGAGACAGAACAAUUAUAUAAACCAAGGCAAUUGGCCAAUUAAUAGCAGACAAUCUUACUGUAAUGGAGCAAUCGUGGACGUCACCGAAACUCCAAAAUGGACAUGUGGCUGAAAUAGCGCCAGCCUUGGUGUUAGUCGGUAUUACAAAUGAUCUUCCUUUAUCUUAUGAAGAGCAGAGGUAUGGACACCUUCUGCUGAAGGACUUUAGAGUUUAGAAAAAGAGAGGCAGGUACGAUGCACAAUUCCAAUUAAUUCAUCACAUAAUUUCGCAGGCAACAUUAAUAUGGAAUAGGCAAAGCCGAGAAGCAAACGUAGAAUUCUUCUUUCAUUCGCUUCUGACUUUACAUUAAACUAGUUCACAACUGUAUACUUGCCAACUAUACCAUGGUAAGUGUAGCGCCGCACAGCUGAUGAUUUUGACGCAAUUUCCGGUUACUUCGGCCUGGAUUCGGGAUCAGCGAUCAAAUAAUGUAAAUCACGAUUAAAAAAUAUUUUUUGAUGAUGCGGGAGAUAUCUUUAUUAAAAUUAACUUUGGGAAAAAAAUAAUUGAAUAAA